Molecule: long non-coding RNA, 503 nt
Organism: Oncorhynchus kisutch (coho salmon)
Lineage: Eukaryota; Metazoa; Chordata; Actinopteri; Salmoniformes; Salmonidae
Exons: 2
Source: RefSeq, a predicted model, not a curated record
AGAGAAAAAGUUGGCCCACCAUCCUGGGAAUAUCAUGUGAAGCAUCCAGAAAUAUCCUAGAUGGCUGGAGCAGAAGCCCAGGCUCAGAAACCUCCACUGACAGAGGAGGGGAGAAGACUUAGUGGAGGAGAGCGAGACUAACCAGAGAGGAAAACUUUUGCCUUUGGAUAACUAAGAACUACGGGGAAAGAUCCAAUAUGGCAGUUGCCAGCAUGUCCAUGCCUGGCUCCACAACCAACCUAGACUCAGAUGUUACAUAGUAAAUGUAAAUCUGUCUCUCUCCAUUUAGUCAUUACAACGUAGCUAUAGCCAAUAUGACAUAUGGGCAACAAUUGCUAGUCACGGUAUGUACAAGAAAAUAUUAUUAUAGGGAUUGAGGAAGAACAUGUGACACUAUACAGACAUCUCCAUCAAUUUAAAUAUACAGUUGCGUUCAAAAUUAUUGGCACCCUCGAUAAAGAUGAGCAGAAAAGACUGUAUAAAAUAAAUAAUAAGAAUACUGA